RNAcentral lists this ribosomal RNA (440 nucleotides) under uncultured bacterium. RNAcentral's name for it is "partial 16S ribosomal RNA". It matches the Rfam family "Bacterial small subunit ribosomal RNA", at positions 338 to 795 of the family's 1533-position model. The record is from RNAcentral.
CCUACGGGGGACAGCAGUAGGGAAUAUUGCUCAAUGGGGGAAACCCUGAAGCAGCAAAGCCGCGUGGAGGAUGAAGGUUUUCGGAUUGUAAACUCCUUUUGGUAGAGAAGAUAAUGACGGUAUCUAACGAAUCAGCACCGGCUAAAUCCGUGCCAGCAACCGCGGGAAUACGGAGGGUGCAAGCGUUACUCGGAAUCACUGGGCGGAAAGAGCGCGUAGGCGGGAUAGUAAGUCAGAUGUGAAAUCCUAGGGCUUAACCAUAGAACUGCAUUUGAAACUGGUAUUCUAGAGUAUGGGAGAGGUAGGUGGAAUUCCUGGUGUAGGGGUAAAAUCCGUAGAGAUCAAGAGGAAUACUCAUGGCGAAGGCGACCUGCUAGAACAAGACUGACGCUGAUGCGCGAAAGCGUGGGGAGCAAACAGGAUUAGAUACCCCUGUAGUC